GAUGAACGCUGGCGGCGUGCUUAACACAUGCAAGUCGAACGGGAAACCUUUUAAUGAAGCUUCGGCAGAUUUAGCUGGUUUCUAGUGGCGGACGGGUGAGUAACGCGUGGGUAACCUGCCUUAUACAGGGGGAUAACAGUCAGAAAUGACUGCUAAUACCGCAUAAGCGCACAGGACCGCAUGGUCCGGUGUGAAAAACUCCGGUGGUAUAAGAUGGACCCGCGUUGGAUUAGCUUGUUGGUGGGGUAACGGCUCACCAAGGCGACGAUCCAUAGCCGGCCUGAGAGGGUGAACGGCCACAUUGGGACUGAGGCACGGCCCAGACUCCUACGGGAGGCAGCAGUGGGGAAUAUUGCACAAUGGGGGAAACCCUGAUGCAGCGACGCCGCGUGAAGGAAGAAGUAUCUCGGUAUGUAAACUUCUAUCAGCAGGGAAGAUAGUGACGGUACCUGACUAAGAAGCCCCGGCUAACUACGUG
This 478-nucleotide ribosomal RNA is filed under the name uncultured bacterium. RNAcentral describes it as "partial 16S ribosomal RNA". It matches the Rfam family "Bacterial small subunit ribosomal RNA", at positions 28 to 507 of the family's 1533-position model. The record is from RNAcentral.